AUUGAACGCUGGCGGCAUGCUUUACACAUGCAAGUCGAACGGUAACAGGCCGCAAGGUGCUGACGAGUGGCGAACGGGUGAGUAAUGCAUCGGAACGUGCCCAGUCGUGGGGGAUAACUAUCCGAAAGGAUAGCUAAUACCGCAUACGCUCUGCGGAUGAAAGCGGGGGACCUUCGGGCCCCGCGCGAUUGGAGCGGCCGAUGUCAGAUUAGGUAGUUGGUGGGGUAAAGGCUCACCAAGCCAACGAUCUGUAGCUGGUCUGAGAGGACGACCAGCCACACUGGGACUGAGACACGGCCCAGACUCCUACGGGAGGCAGCAGUGGGGGAUUUUGGACAAUGGGCGCAAGCCUGAUCCAGCAAUGCCGCGUGCAGGAAGAAGGCCUUCGGGUUGUAAACUGCUUUUGUACGGAACGAAACGGCUCUGGUUAAUACCUGGGGCUAAUGACGGUACCGUAAGAAUAAGCACCGACUAACUACGUGCCAGCAGCCGCAGUAA
This 498-nucleotide ribosomal RNA is filed under the name uncultured bacterium. RNAcentral's name for it is "partial 16S ribosomal RNA". It matches the Rfam family "Bacterial small subunit ribosomal RNA", at positions 30 to 523 of the family's 1533-position model. The record is from RNAcentral.